CCCAGACUCCUACGGGAGGCAGCAGUGAGGAAUAUUGGUCAAUGGUCGGGAGACUGAACCAGCCAAGCCGCGUGAGGGAGGAAGGUACAGAGUAUCGUAAACCUCUUUUGUCAGGGAACAAAGGCGGGGACGGGUCCCCGGAUGAGGGUAACUGAAGAAAAAGCAUCGGCUAACUCCGUGCCAGCAGCCGCGGUAAUACGGAGGAUGCGAGCGUUAUCCGGAUUUAUUGGGUUUAAAGGGUUCGUAGGCGGGCUUUUAAGUCAGCGGUAAAAAUUCGGGGCUCAACCCCGUCCGGCCGUUGAAACUGGGGGCCUUGAGUGGGCGAGAAGAAGGCGGAAUGCGUGGUGUAGCGGUGAAAUGCAUAGAUAUCACGCAGAACUCCGAUUGCGAAGGCAGCGUACCGGCGCCCAACUGACGCUGAAGCACGAAAGCGUGGGUAUCGAACAGGAUUAGAUACCCCGGUA
This 464-nucleotide ribosomal RNA is filed under the name uncultured bacterium. Its description in RNAcentral is "bacterial SSU rRNA". It matches the Rfam family "Bacterial small subunit ribosomal RNA", at positions 330 to 792 of the family's 1533-position model. The record is from RNAcentral.